AUGGCGCCAUCCAAAUCCCAUCUCACCUUGCUCCUCGCCGUAGUUCUGAUCGCCGCCACGCCGCAGCCUUCGGCGGCCGUCAGGGAGGCCCCUGCCCCCUCCACCAGCAACGAUCCAGUAGCAAAAACAUCGGCAUGGUGCAUUCCCUGCUUUUCGUUUCUGCCACAGCUAUUCUGUAUACCGCCGGUAUUCUGUCCGCCAACGCCUAGUGCGCCGCCGCCCGCCGCCACCGCCAGCGAAGCCGGAGCCGAAAGAGUGUCUACCAUCGUUGAUGGGGUUGAUGCCAUGCAAGGAUUACCUCACCAACAGAACUGCGCCGGAGCCUCCAAAGCAAGGCAAGUGCUGCGAUGGCCUCAGGUCACUCUUCAAGAACGCCGCCGUUUGCACAUGCCGCAUAUCGGACGACGGCGACCUCGACAGGCUCAUGUCGGCACGCCUAGAUGGAGGAAAAUUCCAUCAUCUGUCGGUUAUAUGUGA
Molecule: ribosomal RNA, 477 nt
Filed under: Triticum aestivum (bread wheat)
Lineage: Eukaryota; Viridiplantae; Streptophyta; Magnoliopsida; Poales; Poaceae
Description: partial small subunit ribosomal RNA
Source: RNAcentral